Molecule: long non-coding RNA, 369 nt
Organism: Melospiza melodia melodia
Lineage: Eukaryota; Metazoa; Chordata; Aves; Passeriformes; Passerellidae
Exons: 3
Source: RefSeq, a predicted model, not a curated record
CAGACUUUGGACUGGGAAAACAUUUUGUAUUGGUACAGUGAAACCAUCACAGCACAUACCAGAGUUACCAGGAAACAGCAGGGCUUACAGGCUGCUCUUACAGCCUAUUAGGAAAGAGCCUGCUAAAUAUUUGAUAUUUACAAGCUGUGCUGCUGAAAUGCCAGAGGCAUCUGAAGAAUCCAGCCCAGUUCUCACACCUCUCCUGCCCCAGCACAUGCUGACAGACGUGUGGAUGCUCUGCUCCCAUCCCUAGGCACGAAGAUGCUGCUCAGCCCCAUGUCCAAGGCACCCUGUGGCAGAACAGCUCUGCGUGGCUCCUUCCCAGUCUGGAUGUUGAAUACAAAUCUCUAGGUACAAAAAAGAACACAA